AACGCACAUUGCGCCUGCCAGUAUUCUGGCAGGCAUGCCUGUCCGAGCGUCAUUACCCCCCUCGAGCCCUGCUUGCUCGGUGUUGGGACGCUGUAGGCGCUCUGCCUACAGCCCCCGAAAGCCAGUGGCGGGCCUGUUUGGAACCCGAGCGCAGUCCAAUUUGCCUCGCUUAGGGCCUUCCAGCAGUGCUCAGCCGUUAACGCUUUUGACGCAUUGUCAAUGUAUACAAGUUUGACCUCGGAUCAGGUAGGAAUACCCGCUGAACUUAA
RNAcentral lists this unclassified non-coding RNA (269 nucleotides) under uncultured fungus. Its description in RNAcentral is "partial contains 5.8S ribosomal RNA, internal transcribed spacer 2, and large subunit ribosomal RNA". Lineage: Eukaryota; Fungi. The record is from RNAcentral.